UACGAGGGGGGCAAGCGUUGUUCGGAUUUAUUGGGCGUAAAGGGUGCGUAGGCGGUUUGGCAAGUCUUGUGUGAAAUCUUCGGGCUCAACCCGAAGCCUGCAUAAGAAACUGCCGGGCUUGAGUAUGGGAGAGGUGAGUGGAAUUUCCGGUGUAGCGGUGAAAUUCGUAGAUAUCGGAAGGAACACCUGUGGCGAAAGCGGCUCACUGGACCAUUACUGACGCUGAUGCACGAAAGCUAGGGGAGCAAACAGG
Molecule: ribosomal RNA, 253 nt
Filed under: uncultured bacterium
Lineage: Bacteria
Description: partial 16S ribosomal RNA
Rfam family: Bacterial small subunit ribosomal RNA
Source: RNAcentral